Molecule: long non-coding RNA, 424 nt
Organism: Bos taurus (domestic cattle)
Lineage: Eukaryota; Metazoa; Chordata; Mammalia; Artiodactyla; Bovidae
Source: Ensembl
CUGGCUUCUUUCCUCUCCCCUCUCAAUGAUGAACGCUCCUCUGGAAAAAGACAGGAAUGGCUGUCCUGGAGAAAGGAUGGUGUCGGGGCCAAUGAGGGUGACGACGCCUGAACACACCCUUUGCUGACGGCCUACUGCUUCUCAAGUUUAAUUACGCAUGUGUUACUGCCCAAGUGUCAACUCUGAUGAUCUGGAAAGAAGCUUGACUUCGAGGGACACCCAAGAGUUCUGCUGGCCCUUUGAGGAGGAGAUUAAACUGUUCCCCACCCUCCAGUCUCCAUAUUUACUCUUGUGCAUCCCACACCCCACACCCACACCCACACAUGGGCACAUGUGCAUACACUCCAGCAGACAUCCAGACACAUGUGUGUAUCUCCCCACCCCACCCCCCUUCAAAGAGGAAGGGAUAGUAGGAGGUAUUGAA